CAGUCGCCGCGGUAAUACGAAGGGGGCUAGCGUUGCUCGGAAUCACUGGGCGUAAAGGGUGCGUAGGCGGGUCUUUAAGUCAGGGGUGAAAUCCUGGAGCUCAACUCCAGAACUGCCUUUGAUACUGAAGAUCUUGAGUUCGGGAGAGGUGAGUGGAACUGCGAGUGUAGAGGUGAAAUUCGUAGAUAUUCGCAAGAACACCAGUGGCGAAGGCGGCUCACUGGCCCGAUACUGACGCUGAGGCACGAAAGCGUGGGGAGCAAACAGGAUUAGAUACCCGAGUAGUCCCUGUCUCUUAUAA
Molecule: ribosomal RNA, 301 nt
Filed under: uncultured bacterium
Lineage: Bacteria
Description: partial 16S ribosomal RNA
Rfam family: Bacterial small subunit ribosomal RNA
Source: RNAcentral